Molecule: ribosomal RNA, 253 nt
Filed under: uncultured bacterium
Lineage: Bacteria
Description: partial 16S ribosomal RNA
Rfam family: Bacterial small subunit ribosomal RNA
Source: RNAcentral
UACGGAAGGUGCAAGCGUUGCUCGGAAUUAUUGGGCGUAAAGGGAACGCAGGCGGUUUAGUAAGUCGGGUGUGAAAUCCCAGGGCUCAACCCUGGAACUGCAUUCGAAACUGCUAAGCUAGAGUACGAGAGAGGAAAGCGGAAUUCCUGGUGUAGAGGUGAAAUUCGUAGAUAUCAGGAGGAACACCGGCGGCGAAGGCGGCUUUCUGGCUCGAUACUGACGCUCAGGUUCGAAAGCGUGGGGAGCAAACAGG